RNAcentral lists this ribosomal RNA (1223 nucleotides) under metagenome. RNAcentral describes it as "SSU rRNA". It matches the Rfam family "Eukaryotic small subunit ribosomal RNA", at positions 493 to 1774 of the family's 1831-position model. The record is from RNAcentral.
CUCAUGGUUUCACGGUAUUGCAAUGAGAACAAUUUAAAACCCUUAGCGAGAAUCAAGUGGAGGACAAGUCUGGUGCCAGUACCCGCGGUAAUUCCAGCUCCACUAGCGUAUAUUAAAGUUGUUGCAGUUAAAAAGCUCGUAGUUGAACCUCUGUCUGGGGCUAGUUUUGGCUUUGGUCAGGCUAGUUCUAGGCAUCCGCCUACAAGACUUAGAGGGCAUUCAGUUGUUCACUAGGAGGAGUAGGCAUUUUACUUUGAAAAAAUUAGAGUGUUUAAGGCAGGCAAUCGCCCGCAUAUAUUAGCAUGGAAUAAUAGAAUAGGACACUUUUCCAUUUCGUUGGUUAUUGGAAUCGUGUAAUGAUUAAUAGGGACAGUUGUGGGCAUUUGUAUUUAAUUGUCAGAGGUGAAAUUCUUGGAUUUAUUAAAGACAAACUAACGCGAAAGCAUUUGCCAAGGAUGUUUUCAUUAAUCAAGAACGAAAGUUAGGGGAUCAAAGACGAUCAGAUACCGUCCUAGUCUUAACUAUAAACUAUUCCGACUCAAUGUUUGACUGGCUUAUAUAACCAGUUGAGCGUUGAAUGAGAAAUCAAAGUCUUUAGGUUCUGGGGGGAGUAUGGUUGCAAAGCUGAAACUUAAAGGAAUUGACGGAAGAGCACAACCAGGAGUGGAUUCUGCGGCUUAAUUUGACUCAACACGGGGAAACUUACCAGGUUAAAACAAUAGUGGGAUUGACAGUUUGAGAGCCUUUCUUGAUUGGUUGGGUGGUGGUGCAUGGCCGUUCUUAGUUGGUGGAGUGAUUUGUCUGCUUAAUUGCGUUAACGAACGAGACCUUAACCUGCUUACUAGACUGGCGAUCAUCAAUCGUUAGCUCUUCUUAGAGGGACUUUGGUUGUUUUAACUCCAAGGAAGUUUGAGGCAAUAACAGGUCUGUGAUGCCCUUAGAUAUCCUGGGCCGCACGCGUCAUACAAUGACUAGUUCAGAAAGUUUUCUCCUGACCCGAAAGGGGAUGGGUAAUCUUGAUAAUACUAGUCGUGUUAGGGAUCGAUCUUUGCAAUUAUAGAUCUUGAACGAGGAAUUCCUAGUAAGUGCGGUUCAUCAGACCGUACUGAUUACGUCCCUGCUCUUUGUACACACCGCCCGUCGCUUCUACCGAGUGGGUGGUCUGGUGAGAUAAUUGAACUUCGCAGGUAACUGAGAGGAAAGAUUAUCAAACCUAUCCACCU